Molecule: microRNA, 23 nt
Filed under: Octopus vulgaris (common octopus)
Lineage: Eukaryota; Metazoa; Mollusca; Cephalopoda; Octopoda; Octopodidae
Also listed under: 1 other name
Description: Ovu-Mir-76_5p* (star (passenger))
Source: RNAcentral
ACGGGUUUCGUGACAGACGAGCA